GACGAACCGUGCGAACGUUGUUCGGAGUCACUGGGCUUAAAGGGCGCGUAGGCGGGCUGCCAAGUCAGGGGUGAAAGCCCACGGCUCAACCGUGGAAGUGCCUUUGAUACUGGCGGCCUUGAGGGAGGUAGGGGCGUGCGGAACUUCCGGUGGAGCGGUGAAAUGCGUAGAUAUCGGAAGGAACACCGGUGGCGAAAGCGGCGCGCUGGACCUCUUCUGACGCUGAGGCGCGAAAGCUAGGGGAGCAAACGGG
Molecule: ribosomal RNA, 253 nt
Filed under: uncultured bacterium
Lineage: Bacteria
Description: partial 16S ribosomal RNA
Rfam family: Bacterial small subunit ribosomal RNA
Source: RNAcentral